CCUACGGGUGGCUGCAGUGGGGAAUAUUGGGCAAUGGGCGCAAGCCUGACCCAGCAACGCCGCGUGAGGGAAGAAGGCUUUCGGGUUGUAAACUUCUUUUCUCAGGGACGAAGCAAGUGACGGUCCCUGAGGAAUAAGCCACCGCUAACUACGUGCCAGCAGCCGCGGUAAUACGUAGGUGGCAAGAGUUAUCCGGAUUUACUCGGUGUAAAGGGCGUGUAGGCGGGACUGCAAGUCAGAUGUGAAAACCAUGGGCUCAACCUAUGGCGUGCAUUUGAAACUGUAGUUCUGGAGUACUGGAGAGGCAGACGGAAUUCCUAGUGUAGCGGUGAAAUGCGUAGAUAUUAGGAGGAACACCAGUGGCGAAGGCGGUCUGCUGGACAGCAACUGACGCUGAGGCGCGAAAGCGUGGGGAGCAAACAGGAUUAGAUACCCUUGUAGUC
RNAcentral lists this ribosomal RNA (443 nucleotides) under uncultured bacterium. Its description in RNAcentral is "partial 16S ribosomal RNA". It matches the Rfam family "Bacterial small subunit ribosomal RNA", at positions 338 to 795 of the family's 1533-position model. The record is from RNAcentral.